GAUGAAGAACGCAGUGAAAUGCGAUAACUAGUGUGAAUUGCAGAAUUCCGUGAAUCAUCGAGUCUUUGAACGCACAUUGCGCCCCCUGGUAUUCCGGGGGGCAUGCCUGUCCGAGCGUCAUUGCUGCCCAUCAAGCACGGCUUGUGUGUUGGGUCGUCGUCCCCUCUCCGGGGGGACGGGCCCCAAAGGCAGCGGCGGCACCGCGUCCGAUCCUCGAGCGUAUGGGGCUUUGUCACCCGCUCUGUAGGCCCGGCCGGCGCUUGCCGAACGCAAAUCAAUCUUUUUCCAGGUUGACCUCGGAUCAGGUAGGGAUACCCGCUGAACUUAAGCAUAUCAAUAAGCGGAGGA
Molecule: unclassified non-coding RNA, 348 nt
Filed under: soil metagenome
Description: partial contains 5.8S ribosomal RNA, internal transcribed spacer 2, and large subunit ribosomal RNA
Rfam family: 5.8S ribosomal RNA (bases 1-120)
Source: RNAcentral